Molecule: long non-coding RNA, 243 nt
Filed under: Cavia porcellus (domestic guinea pig)
Lineage: Eukaryota; Metazoa; Chordata; Mammalia; Rodentia; Caviidae
Description: lncRNA (ENSCPOG00000039875.1)
Source: RNAcentral
GGCAGGCCCUUCGGUGGGUUUGUGAGGAAGGCUGUUAAGCAAACACCAUCGCAAGGAGCAGGCCGGCGUCAGGCGACACCACCUCACUGUUCAGAGGAGGAACCAAGAUCAACCAGAUGCAGGGCAGAGCACAGGUUCCGAGGACAUCUUCAGAAAUGACAGGAACGUGCAGCUGUCACCUUUCAAACAAGUAGCAUGAAAGGACAACUCUGCGGGAUUGGACGGUGGCUCUCUGACCCUCCA